This is a long non-coding RNA of Pongo pygmaeus (Bornean orangutan), 1577 nucleotides long. RefSeq lists it as uncharacterized. The transcript has 3 exons. NCBI's taxonomy places the organism in Eukaryota, Metazoa, Chordata, Mammalia, Primates, Hominidae. The record is from RefSeq and is a predicted model, not a curated record.
AGAUUCUGUCGUCACCGGACAGCCCGCGCCAGCCCUGCAUGUGACUAUUGCUGCUGUGUGCACACCCACUCAGUGCUGCCCUUCAUCCCACUUCCCCUCCCCAGCACAGGAAGGCACCCCAGAGAGAGGCUGGAAUACACACCGUGUGAGCCAGUCUGCAGACUCUGCCAGAUGCCUACGGAGACAUCCUUGUGAAAUUUGAAUAGCUCUUCUCAGUUUAUUUAUGGAAUCUUUUGGAAGAUCAAAGAUAAAGCACCGCUGUUGGUUUUGGUUUCCACUAUUAUGACGGAGUCUGAAUGAAAGGUAGAACAACCCUAAGAUCAUAAUGCUGUUGAUUUAAUGUUGGAAGCUCCUCCGAGGAAGAGACCAUGCCAUGCAUUUAUUUGCAUUUUACACACAGGCUGUCAAAUGGGGCCAUCCUAGUGCCUGCAUGAUAGGGCAGCUGUCCUUGAAAUGAAGUAGUCACUCAAGUCCUUGUUGAAUGUGCACAAGAAUGAAUGAAUCAAUCAAUAAAUGAACCAAUGGUGCUCUAACAGGUGAGGUGGAACAGGAAGAUCAUGAGCUCUUGAGCCUAGGCCCCAUUUCGGCUAAAGGAUUUCUCAUCCCUGAAAGCAAUGCCCAUCCCUCAAAGCCUUGCCUUUCCCUUUGAGAAUGAUCACAUAUCUUGUUUCCUAUCUCAAUACCUCACUCAAAUUCCUUGGAAAUCCUGGCAUAGCAGAUAGUUAGUAGCCUGCGGUGUGAAUUGCCUCUGGAACUUUAGAAACUGUUGAUAUCUGGAGAAACUGAUUCAGCAGGUCUGGAGCAGGGCAGUGGGUCUGUGGGUUUCAUGAUGAACCUGCUGCCCAUCAAACAAAGAGAGCCGCGGUCCUAAGGUAGAGGACCAAAGAGUUCACUCUGUUGCAAUUUUCGAGUGCUUGAAAGUAGUUUUAUUUUUGUUUUUCUUUGUGAGACACUUUGCACUAAGACAGAAAGAUGAGUCUGUUUUUAAUAUCAUCCCUAUGAAGGGAGCACCUCCACCAUAAUUACCCUGAUGAGAUCUUUCAGAGAGCAUUUCCAACUCUAUCAUCUGGUUGGGGCUCAGCUAAAUCGUGACUGUGCCCCUGAAAUACACUGAUGCCUACUUACCCUGCAUCACACUGGUUUUACUGGAUAUUAAAGUGGACUUCUAGAAAGUUACAAAAGACCUGAAGAAUCCUAGUGAUUCCUCUCUGAUUCAAUGCAACAGUCACCCGCAUCCACUGAGCUCCUCCUGGAAGCCAGGCCUGGUGUUUUCACGUGGUAUUUUCUCAUUCAAGCUUCACAGCAAUCCAAUGGGGUGAGGUUGUCUUAUCCCCAUCUUAAAGAUGAAGGAAGCCAGGCUCUCCCAGGCUACAUAAUUUGGCCAGGGCUAAGGCUCAGGGCUCAGGGCCACCUGAGGCUCUAACUCCAAAGUCCUUAACCAUGGUGCCACCCUAUUUCCUAUUUGUAGCUCCAUUUGAAAAGUAUUAAUUCAAGCUUCCUUGAACUUUCCUUUGGAGUUUGUUGCCUUUUUUGUAGUUGUUAAAUCAAGAGGGUCAAAUAGCAAAACAAGAAGAAAA